Molecule: long non-coding RNA, 332 nt
Filed under: Malus domestica (apple)
Lineage: Eukaryota; Viridiplantae; Streptophyta; Magnoliopsida; Rosales; Rosaceae
Description: long non-coding RNA (MDOM_LNC003258)
Source: RNAcentral
AAUCCACCUUCAAAGAUCAAGCCCACGGCCCUUUGAAGAAACUUCCAACAGUUCAUCCAAGAUCAAGCCUCAACGGCCCUUGGAUCAAUGAAACAUCCACAAAUCAACACCUUACGAAGAUCGAAUCAGAGGAUCAAAUUUGAGAGAGAUUGUAACCCAAAAUCAUCAAAUAUAAAUAUUUGUUUGUGCACGUUGUUCUUGUCUCUUUCGUUUCAGGAAAUUUUCGUGUUCACAAAUUGGCACGCCCAGUGGGACAAUCUUUACCUCUCAUCUCUUUCUCCGUUCAAGGAAUCCAAACACACCUCAAAGUCAAUGGCAUCAAGCAAGGGACA